Molecule: ribosomal RNA, 522 nt
Filed under: uncultured bacterium
Lineage: Bacteria
Description: bacterial SSU rRNA
Rfam family: Bacterial small subunit ribosomal RNA
Source: RNAcentral
UGGGGAAUCUUGGACAAUGGGCGCAAGCCUGAUCCAGCCAUGCCGCGUGAGUGAUGAAGGCCCUAGGGUCGUAAAGCUCUUUCGCCUGUGAAGAUAAUGACGGUAGCAGGUAAAGAAACCCCGGCUAACUCCGUGCCAGCAGCCGCGGUAAUACGGAGGGGGUUAGCGUUGUUCGGAAUUACUGGGCGUAAAGCGCGCGUAGGCGGAUUAGUAAGUCAGAGGUGAAAUCCCAGGGCUCAACCCUGGAACUGCCUUUGAUACUGCUAGUCUUGAGUUCGAGAGAGGUAAGUGGAAUUCCGAGUGUAGAGGUGAAAUUCGUAGAUAUUCGGAGGAACACCAGUGGCGAAGGCGGCUUACUGGCUCGAUACUGACGCUGAGGUGCGAAAGUGUGGGGAGCAAACAGGAUUAGAUACCCUGGUAGUCCACACCGUAAACGAUGAAUGCCAGUCGUCGGGUAGCAUGCUAUUCGGUGACACACCUAACGGAUUAAGCAUUCCGCCUGGGGAGUACGGUCGCAAGAUU